CCACAGGACCCUGAGGCCUCACCAGGGAGGACGCCAUGUUCUCUCUGGGGAUUUUAGCUUUUGAGACAGAAGUCACAUUCUGCAUUUGGAAGUUGAACAUGGCUUUCAAAUGAGGGUGGGCUUUCUCACGGUCUGGUGCACACUCAGCUAGACUCCCCAGGUCUGCUGGAGUUUCCCUAUUUACAUUCUACAGUGCCAGGUGUCUUUAUCGUCGCGCGUUCGCCGUUCAGGAAACGCCACCACAGAGCACUGCUGGCUGGAAGACGGGCAGAAGAAAUACGGAGCGUCUGAUCUGCCAUCAACUUGUGUCACGCCCCAAAAUGGCCAAGAGAAACUGAAAGAAUGCCACAUCUCACAUGGACUCUGACACUGUGUGAGUCUUGUCCCAGCUGAUGAAGGGGAUAGGAUGGCUUAAGCUCAGACCUGGCCUUCAGAAGGAGCAUGUGCUUUGGUGACAGAAGACAUAAAUCUGAGAAAGUGAAGAAAUUGGGAUGCAAACGUCUAAGUCCCUCAAGAACAGGCUGAGUGGGCAAACCAGGAAGUGAAACCAAAUAUAAUCACUGUGAGAGCUGAGGGCAACGAAAGACACUUUAGAAUUAGUUGGAGUGCUAUUAACAUUUCGUUUAAAAGUCUAUUCCCCUGGCAACAUCAAUGUAAUCAGAGCCACACUAAGAGGGAUCUCUAGAGGGUUGAGUAAGUCUAAAUACAUGACGUGCAACACUGAACAUUUCUUAGCAACCAAAGUAAGUUGGAGCCUCAAUGACCUCCAGCCUUAGCCCUGGCCCUCACGGCGAAGAAGCAAAGGAAACAUGAGUACCCUGCCCAUAAAGCAAGUCUACUGCCAUUACAAGUAUGAAUAAAAAUCUAAGAAGGAAUGUCUGAAUUAAAUAAUCAGUGGCUACAAGUCAAUCUGAGUGUCCAUGUACAUGAGUACACACAUGGGAAACGUGCAAACCCCACGGCUAGUGAGAGUUCGGUAAACACCUGAUGCCUAUCUGCCAGGGCACGGCCACUGAGCCUGUUCUAAUUCCGCUGUGUUAGAGGAGACUGACAAGCUGGAGUAAAGCUUUAAUUGAAGUGCUUUAUCGAAAGACACAUGGAUAACGCAUGAUAGUGGUAUGUGAGAGGGCUCAGUGUGUAAAGGGGCUUGCUGCCAAGCCUGACGACCUGAGUUCAAGCCCUGGUCCCACAAGAUGGAAGGAGAAAAAUACUCCUGAAAGUUACCGUCUACCCCCACAUAUACCAAAGCACACACCUACACACACACACACGCAACAUGUAUUCGCACGCAUACACACACACAUCUUUUUAGAGCAGACCAGCCCAUUAGGCUACCUUUCCUCUAGGUACCCUCUCCCGUCUCUGUUGCCCCCCCAUCAGACAUCACACUUUCAUUUUAGGGCCUCAUAUUUUAGAGUUGUUUUGUUUUCAUUCUCUUGACGGGAGAAUUGGUUGGUGUUUGCUGAAUUACAGGCUGAGGGAGAAAAGGAAGCAAAUUGAUCUUUUGUCUCCCCUUAUGACACAUGAAAAGGUCAGGGAAGGUCAGAAACAAAGUGAGAAAGGGAAAGAGAUGAGGCCCAGCAACUAACUCUAAGAAUUCUAAGCACACAGAAUUCUAAGUCUGGGGAGCACCGCUUUCUUGAGUGGUUAUGUAAACCAUUGACUUGAAGGAAAAUGCAGUUUCAGCUGGAGAUCGGUGGUGGAUGCUUGCCUGACCAGCAAGUCCUGAGUUUGAUCCCCAACCAUGAAGGAAGAAGAUGGUCAGAAAGACACGUGGCUGGGGAAGAACACGAGCCUACUCCGACACCAAGUACCGAAUACAGAUUUGUACUGGGUUUUGUUCUGUUCUGGUACAGGGUCACACAUGGCUCUCCUGGCCUGAUGCUCCUGAUGCUCUCAGCAGGUCGCCAAAGCUGACCUUGAAUUUCUGACCCUCCUGGGAUUACAGAUUUAAGUCACCAAGCCAAAUUCGAAG
This is a non-coding RNA of Myodes glareolus (Bank vole), 1975 nucleotides long. NCBI's taxonomy places the organism in Eukaryota, Metazoa, Chordata, Mammalia, Rodentia, Cricetidae. The record is from RefSeq and is a predicted model, not a curated record.